This 253-nucleotide ribosomal RNA is filed under the name uncultured bacterium. RNAcentral describes it as "partial 16S ribosomal RNA". It matches the Rfam family "Bacterial small subunit ribosomal RNA", at positions 524 to 776 of the family's 1533-position model. The record is from RNAcentral.
UACGUAGGGGGCAAGCGUUAUCCGGAUUUGCUGGGUGUAAAGGGGGCGCAGACGGCGAUGCAAGCCAGGAGUGAAAGCCCGGGGCCCAACCCCGGGACUGCUCUUGGAACUGCGUGGCUGGAGUGCAGGAGGGGCAGGCGGAAUUCCUGGUGUAGCGGUGAAAUGCGUAGAUAUCAGGAGGAACACCGGUGGCGAAGGCGGCCUGCUGGACUGCAACUGACGUUGAGGCCCGAAAGCGUGGGGAGCAAACAGG